Lactuca sativa (garden lettuce) is the source of this 2001-nucleotide non-coding RNA. The record is from RefSeq and is a predicted model, not a curated record. Lineage: Eukaryota; Viridiplantae; Streptophyta; Magnoliopsida; Asterales; Asteraceae.
AUGAACCCAUCGCAAAUGCAAACCCUAGCUACUGUAAACCCUAUUUAAUCCCCUAUAACUCUCAUACAUUCAGCAUCAAAAGUAUUCAAUCUCGAUUGGUUUAUUUCGGCGAUCAACACACACUAAAAUCAAUGCCUAUGCCUCUUCAAGCAGACGGGCGGUCUGAAAUGAUGCCAUGUUGAUUGUCUGCAUAAUAUCCUCAACGAGGAUUCGAAUUCUGAGAUUUUUAAUGUAAGUCGAUUGUAGACUUUAUUUGAUUCUUUUUUCGUGUUCAAUUUUAAUGAUUUUUAAAUUUUCAUGAGCUGCUGUGAUGAAUAUGCAAUUUUUAUAUGUCUGGACUUAUGAGACACUGUCUUUGAAAUGAUGCGCAUACUUUCUGAGCUUCAAAUGAUCAAUUUAAUAACAAAAUCGUAUUUUUAUAAAAUUGAAAGUAAUUAAAUCUUGAUUUGGAUGUUUAAAUGAAGGGCUGCUGUGAUUAUAAACAAAAAGAUUUAAUAUCUGAAUGCUAUUUCGAUGGCAUGAUAGACUCUUUUACACCCAUAGAAUAUGAGCACCCAUAUCGUAAACUUGUUAUAUAUUACUACUAUAUUAAUUUUUUACAAUUUGGCCACUUUUUAUGUCACUUGUUCAAUUUCAAAACAUUUAAAUAACUUUGGAUGGGAUUUGUAAAUGUUGCAGUGAUUAUAAAAAAUUCCUCGUUCUGAAUGCCAUAUCUAUGGCAUGACAGACAAAUUUACAAUAGAAUAUGAGCAACGUCUUUUGAAUGAGUUUUAAUUUUUAAUCAUUUAUAUUUAUAUGUAAGAUAGUUGUGUUGUUUAAUUAGAGAUUUUUAAAGGAAAUGAUAAAUAAGAAAGGACAGUAGUUUUAUACAGUAUUACUGCCCUUGUUGUCAAUUCCAAAAGCCUAUUGUAAUAAGGUGGUGUUUAAAGCUCUUGUUUUCAGUUUUUACAAUUCAGAGUUACGCACACCUCCAAAUUUUAAAUUUUAAAAACUACAGCUCCCCAAAUAGCAAAAAUUCUUUGAAGACAACAGAACCUCAAAUAGCAAUUGACUUCCUACAAAUCUUAGCUCUGGAUUUAACAUAGCAAAGUGAAUUAAACAAUUCUUGUUUGAUAGAGAUAGAGAUUAAUCUUCUUUUAAAGUUAAGACUGGUUUUAUUUAAGACUGGUUGUGAGUCACUAAAGAAUUGUGUAUGCUUAAAUCUUCGACUAAGAACCCAAAUAGAAACUGAUUUAAAGAACAAUUGGGAAAUCCAUAAUUCAAGAAAGAGCAAGAAGGAAAUUGGUAAUUCAAGAACUCCUUUGAACCAUAUGAUUUCAUGCCAUUACACUGAAAACAUAUGAUUUCAAGAACAAAAACAAUGAAUUCGCAAACAAAAAAUCAUGAAAGCCACAAAUCAAAACUAGAACAUAUGAAAUUGAGGUCAUAUAUCCAAAACAAAACAUUCAAACCCGUGAAUAUCAAUAUGAAAAGAAGUUAUACAUCUUUUAAGGUAAUAUCGCCAGCAAUCCUUUGAUAAGCAGACCUGAGGGAGGAAGAAGAUGAACUUAUUGAAGAUGAAGAAAACUCAAACCUAGAAAAUGAAGAUGAAUGAUUUCAAACUGUCAUUGUAAUUCUUUGGAACACCGCCGGAUGUUGUUUCCCCUCCCCCAAUUUAACUUGUAUUUUCCUUGGCAUCUUGAAUUGACGGUCUCUCUCUCCAUGAUUGCUCCAUCACAAUGAAUUUCUUUAUGGUGAUGGAAUGGAAGUGAAUUGUGUUUUACCCGGUUUAAGAGUAUUUUGUUGUAGCAUCAACAAAUGACACUCCAUUUAGACAUUGAUUAUGUUGCGAGUCUGAUGACUAGUCCUUAACUUAGGAAUGUGAAUUAAUUGAAGAUAUGAACGCAGUAGAUGGUGUUUAUGGUGAUAGAAUGAAAGUGAAUAGAGUAAGGUGAUGUAAUUGGGUUGUGUAAUUGGGUUGUGUUAUUGGAACGCCUAAGAACUGCCCCUCUUUUACUGUUA